Molecule: transfer RNA, 73 nt
Filed under: Candidatus Moraniibacteriota bacterium
Lineage: Bacteria; Candidatus Moraniibacteriota
Description: tRNA-Arg
Rfam family: tRNA
About the family: Transfer RNA (tRNA) molecules are approximately 80 nucleotides in length. Their secondary structure includes four short double-helical elements and three loops (D, anti-codon, and T loops). Further hydrogen bonds mediate the characteristic L-shaped molecular structure. tRNAs have two regions of fundamental functional importance: the anti-codon, which is responsible for specific mRNA codon recognition, and the 3' end, to which the tRNAs corresponding amino acid is attached (by aminoacyl-tRNA synthetases). tRNAs cope with the degeneracy of the genetic code in two manners: having more than one tRNA (with a specific anti-codon) for a particular amino acid; and 'wobble' base-pairing, i.e. permitting non-standard base-pairing at the 3rd anti-codon position.
Source: RNAcentral
GCGCCCAUAGCUCAAUGGAUAGAGUGUCUGGCUUCGGACCAGAAGGUUCUAGGUUCGAGUCCUAGUGGGCGCA